RNAcentral lists this ribosomal RNA (450 nucleotides) under uncultured Glomeromycotina. RNAcentral describes it as "SSU rRNA". It matches the Rfam family "Eukaryotic small subunit ribosomal RNA", at positions 569 to 1024 of the family's 1831-position model. Lineage: Eukaryota; Fungi; Glomeromycota. The record is from RNAcentral.
AGCAGCCGCGGUAAUUCCAGCUCCAAUAGCGUAUAUUAAAGUUGUUGCAGUUAAAAAGCUCGUAGUUGAAUUUCGGGGUCAGUAGGUCGGUCGUGCCACUGGUAUGAACUGGUCUCACUGAUUCCUCCCUCUUGUAGAACCGUGAUGCCAUUAAUUUGGUGUUGCGGGGAAACAGGACUGUUACUUUGAAAAAAUUAGAGUGUUUAAAGCAAGCUAACGCUUGAAUACAUUAGCAUGGAAUAAUGAAAUAGGACGUCGAUCUUAUUUUGUUGGUUUCUAGGGUUGACGUAAUGAUUAAUAGGGAUAGUUGGGGGCAUUAGUAUUCAAUUGUCAGAGGUGAAAUUCUUGGAUUUAUUGAAGACUAACUACUGCGAAAGCAUUUGCCAAGGAUGUUUUCAUUAAUCAAGAACGAAAGUUAGGGGAUCGAAGACGAUCAGAUACCGUCGUAGU